Molecule: ribosomal RNA, 486 nt
Filed under: uncultured bacterium
Lineage: Bacteria
Description: partial 16S ribosomal RNA
Rfam family: Bacterial small subunit ribosomal RNA
Source: RNAcentral
AUUGAACGCUGGCGACAUGCCUUACACAUGCAAGUCGAACGGCAGCACGGGUGCUUGCACCUGGUGGCGAGUGGCGAACGGGUGAGUAAUACAUCGGAACAUGUCCUGUAGUGGGGGAUAGCCCGGCGAAAGCCGGAUUAAUACCGCAUACGAUAUACGGAUGAAAGCGGGGGACCUUCGGGCCUCGCGCUAUAGGGUUGGCCGAUGGCUGAUUAGCUAGUUGGUGGGGUAAAGGCCUACCAAGGCGACGAUCAGUAGCUGGUCUGAGAGGACGACCAGCCACACUGGGACUGAGACACGGCCCAGACUCCUACGGGAGGCAGCAGUGGGGAAUUUUGGACAAUGGGCGAAUGCCUGAUCCAGCAAUGCCGCGUGUGUGAAGAAGGCCUUCGGGUUGUAAAGCACUUUUGUCCGGAAAGAAAUCCUUGGCCCUAAUACGGUCGGGGGAUGACGGUACCGGAAGAAUAAGCACCGGCUAACUACGUG